ACGCUCGACACCUACGGGAGACAGCAAUGGGGAAUAUUGCACAAUGGGGGAAACCCUGAUGCAGCGACGCCGCGUGGAGGAAGAAGGUCUUCGGAUUGUAAACUCCUGUUGUUGGGGAAAAAGAGGAUGGUACCCAACAAGGAAGUGACGGCUAACUACGUGCUAGCAGCCGCGGUAAUCUGAGCGGGCUGGCAAGGC
Molecule: ribosomal RNA, 198 nt
Filed under: uncultured bacterium
Lineage: Bacteria
Description: partial 16S ribosomal RNA
Rfam family: Bacterial small subunit ribosomal RNA
Source: RNAcentral